GUAGAUCUAGUUUAACCAAAACAUUAGAUUGUGAUUCUAAAGACAGGGGUUAAAACCCCCUGAUCCACC
Molecule: transfer RNA, 69 nt
Filed under: Syngnathus typhle (broad-nosed pipefish)
Lineage: Eukaryota; Metazoa; Chordata; Actinopteri; Syngnathiformes; Syngnathidae
Description: tRNA-His
Rfam family: tRNA
About the family: Transfer RNA (tRNA) molecules are approximately 80 nucleotides in length. Their secondary structure includes four short double-helical elements and three loops (D, anti-codon, and T loops).
Source: RNAcentral